ACACGACUCUCGGCAACGGAUAUCUCGGCUCUCGCAUCGAUGAAGAACGUAGCGAAAUGCGAUACCUGGUGUGAAUUGCAGAAUCCCGCGAACCAUCGAGUCUUUGAACGCAAGUUGCGCCCGAGGCCUUUUGGCCGAGGGCACGCCUGCCUGGGCGUCACGC
RNAcentral lists this ribosomal RNA (163 nucleotides) under Cynosurus cristatus. RNAcentral describes it as "5.8S ribosomal RNA". It matches the Rfam family "5.8S ribosomal RNA". Rfam says of the family: 5.8S ribosomal RNA (5.8S rRNA) is a component of the large subunit of the eukaryotic ribosome. It is transcribed by RNA polymerase I as part of the 45S precursor that also contains 18S and 28S rRNA. Functionally, it is thought that 5.8S rRNA may be involved in ribosome translocation. The record is from RNAcentral. Lineage: Eukaryota; Viridiplantae; Streptophyta; Magnoliopsida; Poales; Poaceae.